AUACGAAGGGGGCUAGCGUUGCUCGGAAUGACUGGGCGUAAAGGGCGCGUAGGCGGAUUGAUUAGUUAGGCGUGAAAUUCCUGGGCUUAACCUGGGGGCUGCGCUUAAUACAGUCAGUCUAGAGUAUGGAAGAGGGUCGUGGAAUUCCCAGUGUAGAGGUGAAAUUCGUAGAUAUUGGGAAGAACACCGGUGGCGAAGGCGGCGACCUGGUCCAUUACUGACGCUGAGGCGCGAAAGCGUGGGGAGC
This 247-nucleotide ribosomal RNA is filed under the name uncultured bacterium. RNAcentral describes it as "partial 16S ribosomal RNA". It matches the Rfam family "Bacterial small subunit ribosomal RNA", at positions 523 to 769 of the family's 1533-position model. The record is from RNAcentral.